RNAcentral lists this ribosomal RNA (380 nucleotides) under uncultured eukaryote. RNAcentral's name for it is "partial 18S ribosomal RNA". It matches the Rfam family "Eukaryotic small subunit ribosomal RNA", at positions 592 to 976 of the family's 1831-position model. The record is from RNAcentral.
CAAUAGCGUAUAUUAAAGUUGUUGCGGUUAAAAAGCUCGUAGUUGGAUUUCUGCUGAGAACGACCGGUCCGCCCUCUGGGUGUGUAUCUGGCUCUUUCUUGGCAUCUUCUUGGUGAACGUUGCUGCACUUGACUGUGUGGAGCGCUACCCAGGACUUUUACUUUGAGGAAAUUAGAGUGUUUCAAGCAGGCAUACGCCUUGAAUACAUUAGCAUGGAAUAAUAAGAUAGGACCUCGGUUCUAUUUUGUUGGUUUCUAGAGCUGAGGUAAUGAUUAAUAGGGAUAGUUGGGGGCAUUCGUAUUUAACUGUCAGAGGUGAAAUUCUUGGAUUUGUUAAGGACGGACUACUGCGAAAGCAUUUGCCAAGGAUGUUUUCAUUGA